UACAGAGGGUGCAAGCGUUAAUCGGAAUGACUGGGCGUAAAGGGCGCGUAGGUGGUUAUGUAAGUCGGAUGUGAAAGACCUGGGCUUAACCUGGGGGUGUCAUCCGAUACUGUGUAGCUAGAGUAUGGGAGAGGAAAGCGGAAUUUCAGGUGUAGCGGUGAAAUGCGUAGAUAUCGGAAAGAACACCGGUGGCGAAGGCGGCUUUCUGGCCUAAUACUGACACUGAGGCGCGAAAGCGUGGGGAGCAAACAGG
Molecule: ribosomal RNA, 253 nt
Filed under: uncultured bacterium
Lineage: Bacteria
Description: partial 16S ribosomal RNA
Rfam family: Bacterial small subunit ribosomal RNA
Source: RNAcentral